Molecule: long non-coding RNA, 1614 nt
Organism: Spinacia oleracea (spinach)
Lineage: Eukaryota; Viridiplantae; Streptophyta; Magnoliopsida; Caryophyllales; Amaranthaceae
Exons: 5
Source: RefSeq, a predicted model, not a curated record
AUUUCUUUUCUCAAAUAACAGUGAACUAAGAUAGGCGCUUUGUAUACUUGCGGAAAACACUCUUCUAACUUAACCGCUCUAUAUCUUGCGUUUCUUAUUCCAACUUUUUUAGUAGUGAUAAAACACGUUUGAGAUGUUUUCAAACACAUUUCGCGUUUCCAAAACAUAACAUUAUGAACAUAAACGCCACAUUUUCUUCUCUAUUCUCGUACAUUUCUUUUUCUCUCCUCAUACUGAUCUUCUCUCUGUUCAACUUCCUACAAAUAAACCACUAUCGACAACACGUAAAAUUGAGAUGAAUAUAACAGUUCUGAUGUAGACAAUUUUAUCCUGGUUUGGACAUAUCGGUUCUUGUCUGGACAUGAUCUGGACAUACUAGUUCUGAUUUUGACAUGACUUAGAUGAUAUGAUAUGGACAUAUUGGUUUUGGUCUGGACAUGAUAUGGACAAAUUGAUUAUGAUUUUGACUUGACCUGGAUGAUAUGAUCUAGACAUAUCGAUUUUGCUCUGGACAUGAGAGUACGUAAUAAACAAAUAGAAAAAAGAUGGCCACAAGUGGUAUAUGUUAACCGUAAAUAAUACGUCCGCAAGUCGUACUCUUUUAGAUAAAAUUUAAGCGGGAAAUUUCCUUCUAGCUAUAAUAAAUCAUAUACUCCACAAAACACCGUAAUUAGUUUUAAGGAGCUCGCUAAUGCCGCUGGAAUUCAUUUCAAUAGCCCGUUUUGACAUUGUGCACUAUUCAUAUAUUAACUUUGAUUCUCUUUUUACAUGUACAUAAAUUGAUAAAAAAAAAGAUAAGAUAUUAAGAAUAAAAGUUCUAUAUAGACAAAUAUAAAAAUUAAAAUAAUACAACUAUUUCUAAAUAAAGAAAAGAUAAUAAAUAUAAUAUUAAAAAUCGUAUUAAUUUGAAAUUGUCAUAUUAAGCUCAAAUAAUAGAGAUCAAAUAAAAUCCAAUUAGACUACCCGCCCACUUUUCACGAAUUUAACUCAAAACUAAUACCCAAUUAUACUACCCGCCCUUCUCUUAGGCGAAUUUCGCUCAAAAAAUUCAUUUCCCUCUUCGCUUAGCCAUUUCAGCGCCAUUUCUUCUGGAUCUAGGUUUAGGAACUCAACUUGAUUCUCCCCAAAUUCUGAACCCAAUUCUCACUCGAAAUCCUAGCGAGAGAGCUCUUACUCGUUAACAACAGGAAAUGGUUUGAUAACUCUGGUGGUGUUUCAUUUUGAUUUCAUUCAUCUCAAGGGCUUAGAUUAUCACAAGUCCGCAUAGUUUUCGGGAAAACAAAACUGCUCAAGGGGAUCGGUGGACUGGAAAAGUUAACUUCGUUGAGAUUCAAACGUAUUAGCACGUCUUCAGAAGUUUGACAGAAUGCCAUGAUUAUUAUUGCACUGGAAUGGCACAGGCGACCCAAGUGCAAUAUUCCAAGUGCAAAAUUCUGUGUGUGCCAUUGCAGCUGUUCUUAGAAACCUCUGCAUUGCUGAGGGCAGCGCACUGAGGCAACACUUCUCAGAGAUUCACUUUCAGUUGGAGGGUAGGAAAAGGAACAAGCUAGUUGAUCAACUUGCUAGUAUUACACGCCAGGAAAGCAGGAGAUGAACCAGAUCAUGCAACUUCAG